CCUUUUCCAUCCAAGUUCCUUAAUUUGUUGGUCAUUUUGGAGAGUUUUAUGUUUUGAUGGAUUUCAAUCGACUCUUGUAAUAUAGAGAACAACCUCCGACAUGCUCAGUUGUGGACUGUUCCUUAAAAAGGGAGUUGAAACAGUAAUUGAAGGCAUAUGGUUUCAUCAACAGAGAUAGUACACGCGCAUGUGUCACGGUGAUGAGAAAGAUCAUCAACUUGAGUUUUGUAAGUAGUUCUGAUCUCAUAAAUGCCAAGCUUGAAGAGCAUCAAUUUUAUGGAUCCAAGCAGUGCCUCGGUUGCAAACACCAGUUUCAAGGGAAGCUGAGGCUACACGGCUGACUAGGCUUGCGCGCAGGAGUGAAGUUUGAUCCCAUAUACCAAGAACUAAUAGAACAUCUUGAAGCCAGAGUGAAGGCAAAGAACAUGAAACCACAAACCAACAGCUUUUGUCCAUCAACACUUACACCAUAUGCACCCAAUAUCUCUGUGACUCAUUUAGUCUGACUUAUAUUGAUUAAUUCUCAUAUGCAUUAUAGUGAUCACUAGCUAUAGGUCAAGUUAUCUCCCAUUCCACCUCCACUUCAUUAAGUUAUGUAGCAAUUAAGUAGGUAACGCUGCAGACAUUCUCCCUUUAUAUAUACUAGCAAUAACUUUAGCUAAAUCCUUUAGAGUUAAGUGAGUCAUAUAAGGCACGCAAAUGCACGAUCAAGGUCUCUAGUGAGAUUUUAUAGUGAUGUGUAGGAAACAAUUAUGUUGCAACACAAACAAGGAUUCCAAUGCCAAAGUUAGCAUAUAAGGUCUCUAGUGAGAUGUUACGGUGAUGUGUAGGCCAAUUCAAGUUUCUUAAAGUUGUUGGCUUUCUUAAGUUUUAUAGGCUUUAUGGUUAUGAAAUGUCACUAUCGUUUUUUAUCACUUCACAUGAAACCUAUGUAAUAACUUCUUCAACAUCUCUUUUAUGUUGUUGAAUCAAAUGAAUUCUGACCAAUUUAAAUAUGAUAAUGGAAUAAUGGAUGCUAAUUUUACUAUUUUCAUUAACUAUAGAGAUAUAAGAUUACAAUAUGAGUUGCAUGGUAUUUUCUGUUGAGUAUAGUCCAUAGACAUAUUAUGUAACUUAUGCUCUGUAAUUUAAGUUUUGUUGUAGAUUCACGGUGUAGUGGAAGAUAAGAAAGGUACAACAGUGGCAACUCUAUUUGAGAAAUGGGAUGAGAGCUUGCAUUACGUAAUUGGAGGGAAUUUUGGGAAGCGAAGCCUAACACCAGAGUACCAAACAAGAUAUAACGUCACACAAUUUUCUAUUACACUAUAUGAAAUCACACCUAUAUUAAAGGAGAAGUUGCCUCCAAUAGAUUCAAGACCAAGACUUGAUCAAAGGUGUUUGGAUAAUGGAUAACAUGAAAUGGCCAAUUCUGAACAAUUGCGACUGGAACAAAGUUAGUGGCAGGCACAAAAGAUGAAAGAGAAAGGUUGGAAACCACGGUGGUUUGCCAAGGAAAAAGGCAACAACUCUUACCAUUAUGUUGGAGGGUACUGGGAGACUAGGGAAAAGGAGAAUUGGGAGUCUUGUCUUGACAUUUUUGACCAAGCCUCAACCGAUACUGAUUUUAAGCAAACUUCAUAAAUUCUCAACACUUUUUACCUACCUACUUCCCCUACCACCACACCCCUUUUGAUCAUAGCAUAUGUUCAUAACCAUAUUUAUGAUCAUUAUUUUUUGAGCAUUCAACAGAUAUGGUUGAUUAAUGCCUGCUAUCUAUAGGUUAUGUAUAGAAAACAAUGGUUCUUACUUCUUCCUGAACAAGAUAACUUCCUGUUUCCCAAUUCUAUCUGGCAACAACAACAACUUUUCUUGCUGUCAGAUACUCAUUUCGAAGUUGGGUUUAUAGAAUGGAUGGAGUGAAGCUUUGUAUGAAAGUCAUAGUUGAAACUGUAGUAUGAAGUCCAGCUUUUAUAAAAUAUAAGAGAACUGCUUCUUUUAUAAAAUAUCGAAGAAUUGAUUCUACUAGUUUCUUUUUGAGUCUUUAUUUCAUUUGUAUAGUGGCAUGUCAUUUUCAUUUUGAGUGUGGUAAAUAUUGUAGGAAUGAUGUUAGCAAUGAAGCUCAAGAUACUCUAGGUUCUGCAGAUGGAGUUCCUGUAAAAGAUAAAGAAGUACACUUCUCUUACAUCAGUUUUGUUUCUAGUU
Molecule: long non-coding RNA, 2181 nt
Organism: Glycine soja
Lineage: Eukaryota; Viridiplantae; Streptophyta; Magnoliopsida; Fabales; Fabaceae
Exons: 4
Source: RefSeq, a predicted model, not a curated record